This 388-nucleotide unclassified non-coding RNA is filed under the name soil metagenome. RNAcentral's name for it is "partial contains 5.8S ribosomal RNA, internal transcribed spacer 2, and large subunit ribosomal RNA". The stretch from base 1 to 122 matches the Rfam family "5.8S ribosomal RNA", at positions 35 to 154 of the family's 154-position model. The record is from RNAcentral.
GAUGAAGAACGUAGUGAAAUGCGAUACUUGGUGUGAAUUGCAGAAUCCCGUGAACCAUCGAGUCUUUGAACGCAAGUUGCGCCCGAAGCCAUUAGGCCGAGGGCACGCCUGCCUGGGCGUCACACGUCGUUGCCCCCCCAUCUAAUCCUUCGGGAUUGCGGGGGGCGGAUGAUGGCCUCCCGUGCGCCUCGUCGCGCGGUUGGCAUAAAUGCCAAGUCCUCGGCGACGCACGCCACGACAAUCGGUGGUUGCGAAACCUCGGUUGCCCGUCGUGUGCGGUCGUCGCGCAUCGAGGGCUCGAAAAAAUUGCCGGGCUCCGGCUCGACUUUCAACGCGACCCCAGGUCAGGCGGGGUUACCCGCUGAAUUUAAGCAUAUCAAUAAGCGAA